UUAUCGGUUGUCACACGGUGACAUUAAAAGGGAACAAUGUGCAAAUCAUUGACAGUCCCGCUACGGUAAGUUGCGCCACGUUGUGGCGAAAUGUUCUUUCCACUGGUUUCGCCGGGAAGGGAAGUACAGCUGUUUCUACAGUAAUUCAACAAGUCCGGAUACCUGCCGCACAA
RNAcentral lists this non-coding RNA (173 nucleotides) under chicken gut metagenome. The record is from RNAcentral.